GCUCGGGACCCGACUGCUUUUCCCGCGGCACCGCUCGGUAUGGAGAGCCCGGCCUGCAGCCUGGGCUUUCUGCGGCUCGUCCUGCCCGUUUGCAGGUUGCAGACAAAACCCACGCUCAAGUGGAGGCGUCCUGAGUUUUCACCAGGGCCUGUCGCAGGGCCUCCAGGAAGCCAGUGGCCGGACCUCAGAGUCACACAGUGAUAGACUUGGACCUCCGUGGUUAUCACCAAAAGGAGGUUUCCAACACACUGUCACACUGGAUAUUAUGAAAUACUCCAAAAAUAAGAAGAGAGGUCACUAAAACUGUGUGUCAAAGAGGAAGUAUCCAGCUUCCAGGUGAUGCUGCUGAGUUUCCUCGACUCUCUAGAACAGUGAUUCUCAAACUGAGAUGCUUUGGGCCUCCAGCGGACACUUGGCAACAUUGUGGAGACAUCUCUGAUUGUUACAACUGGGGUGGUGCAACGAAGCGGAGGCCAGCAACACCGCUAAGCAUCCUACCAUGCUCGGGACAGCCCCGCAUGACAAAGCAGUGUCUCGCCUAAAGGCAAUGGGGACAAAUCACAGCAGUCAUCUCAGAAAUCAGAGGGAGGCAUGGCCUGCCACCACCAGGGAUCUGUGAAUGGACUCCACCUGCGGCCCCAGUCCCUCUCAGAGAACGGCCAAGAAGAGGCACUGCAGCCGAGCACCACCCGUUGUUGCUGUCACUCCCCUGGGAACACACCCGCCCUGCUGUUACCACUGCCAAAUGCUCCAGGCACCACCUACAGAUGCAGAUCACUGUCACUUCCCAGGGCCCUGCAACUAGGAGCAGCCUGUGCAACACCUCAUGCAUGGGCUAAGCAGGACAGGAUGCUUCUUGUGUGGGCUGCAGGUGGUGGGGGCCAACCACUGCAGUUAUCUCUGUCUCCAGAGGUAGGCGUGGCCCACCACCACUAGGAGUCCGUGAACAGGCACCAUUUGUGGCUCCAGUCACCACAGAGGGCACCACAGAGGAGGGCAUUGUGACUGAACACCACCCGUUCCUACUCUCACUCCUCCGGGAACUCACACACCAUGUCGCUGCCACUGCCCAAUGCUCUGGGCACUGCCUAAAUCUGCCUGAGGCUCAUUACCAGGUCCUAGGGCCCUGAACUAGGAGUAGCUGGCACCACCUUCUGGAACGUUCUUGCUACUGUGAAGAAGCCAGCAACUACGUACUGACUACUAGCUGUGCCCAUUGCCUCCUUCUCCCUAAACACACUCAGCCCCCUAGGGAUAACAGCCUGUUCACACCUAAGAAAGAGUCAGCAAAUAUCCAAACUCCCACACCAAAAAUAAAGAGUAAUCCCCCCCCAAAAAAAAACAAAGGGGUGCUCUUACAUAGAAUAGCCCUCCAACACUACAGUAGUUGGUUUCCCUAAAGUCACAGAAGAGGAAGAAUAUAAGCAAAAUGAAGACGCUCAGGAACCAUUCCCAGUUAAAAGAACAGGAGAAUUCACCCGAAAGAGCAAACAAUGAAACAGACUAAAGCAGUCUAGCAGAUACUGAGUUCAAAAAUUAGGUGGUGAAAAUACUGAAGUAAUUAAGAGUGAAUAUGAAGGAAUUAAGAGCAGAUAUGAACAGUAGUGCAGAUUAUUUUAGAAAAGAACUACAAAAUAUUGGAAAGAGCCAAGAAAAAUUAUAAAAUGCAUUUUCAGAGACAUGAGCUGAGUUAAAGGCAUUAAAGAGCAGAAUGAAUAAUGCAGAGGAAUGAAUUAGUGACUUGGAAGAUAGAAUAAUGGAAAUCACCCAAUCAGGACAGCAGGCAGAAAACUAAGUGAAAAAACAUGAAAGCAAUAUGAGGUCUAUGGGAUAAUAUAAAGUGGGCCAAUCUAUACAUAAUAGGGAUUCCAGAAGGAGAAGAAAAAGAAAAGGGGAUUGAAAAUAUAUUUGAAGAAAUUAUGUCUGAAAACGUUCCAAAUCUAAAGGAAACAGCUAUAAAGGUACAGGAAGUACAGAGGGCCCCAAACAAGGUGAAGCCAAACAGGCCCACACCAAGGCAUAUUAUAAUGAAAAUGGCAAAAGUUAAAGAUAGAGAGGAUUCUAAAGGUAGCAAGAGAAAAACAAAGCAUUAAUUAUAAAGGAACCCCCGUAAGACUAUCUGCUGAUUUCUCUACAGAAAUACUACAGACCAGAAGAGAGUAGCAAGAUACAUUCAUAGUUCUAAAAGGGAAAAAUUCGGACUUCCCAUUUGGCUGACAACAUAAAACGGAAAAAUUUGCAGCCUGGAAUACUCUACCCAGCAAGAAUACUAUUUAACAUAGAAGGAGAAAUAAAGAUUUUCUCCAACAAACGAAAACUAAAAGAGCACAGCAAUACUAAACCCAUUCUAAAGGAAAUGCUGAAAGGGCUUCUCUAAAUAAGAAGUAAGAAGAAACAGGAUGGAGGAAAUCACAAUUGGAAAGCAAUCACUUAAAUAAGCCAGUAUACAGAUCUAAAAGGAAAAAAGAAAAA
Molecule: long non-coding RNA, 2472 nt
Filed under: Sus scrofa (pig)
Lineage: Eukaryota; Metazoa; Chordata; Mammalia; Artiodactyla; Suidae
Description: lncRNA (ENSSSCG00005012739.1)
Source: RNAcentral